GAUGAACGCUGGCGGCGUGCCUAAUACAUGCAAGUCGAGCGAACAGACGAGGAGCUUGCUCCUCUGACGUUAGCGGCGGACGGGUGAGUAACACGUGGAUAACCUACCUAUAAGACUGGGAUAACUUCGGGAAACCGGAGCUAAUACCGGAUAAUAUAUUGAACCGCAUGGUUCAAUAGUGAAAGACGGUUUUGCUGUCACUCAUAGAUGGAUCCGCGCCGCAUUAGCUAGUUGGUAAGGUAACGGCUUACCAAGGCAACGAUGCGUAGCCGACCUGAGAGGGAGAUCGGCCACACUGGAACUGAGACACGGUCCAGACGCCUACGGGAGGCAGCAGUAGGGAAUCUUCCGCAAUGGGCGAAAGCCUGACGGAGCAACGCCGCGUGAGUGAAGAAGGUCUUCGGAUCGUAAAACUCUGUUAUUAGGGAAGAACAAAUGUGUAAGUACCUAUGCACGUCUUGACGGUACCUAAUCAGAAAGCCACGGCUAACUACGUG
Molecule: ribosomal RNA, 497 nt
Filed under: uncultured bacterium
Lineage: Bacteria
Description: partial 16S ribosomal RNA
Rfam family: Bacterial small subunit ribosomal RNA
Source: RNAcentral